Long non-coding RNA from Amphimedon queenslandica, 259 nucleotides. RefSeq lists it as uncharacterized. NCBI's taxonomy places the organism in Eukaryota, Metazoa, Porifera, Demospongiae, Haplosclerida, Niphatidae. The transcript has 3 exons. The record is from RefSeq and is a predicted model, not a curated record.
CUUUAUUUAACGCUGAAAGGACUACAUUACGUCAAGCACUCUUCUCACUCAAGAGAAUGUUCCAGGAUGAUGCUGACCUGGUAAUGGAGUUUGUUGCUAACCAAGGAAUGGACGCACUCAUCACUGUAGCAAGAGAUGCUGAUGCCACCUUUCAACAAUACAUACUGAAAGCUGUUGGUGAGAUAGUGGUGUAUGUUGAUGGAAUGCAUGGACUCAUCAGGUGUAAUGAGAUGAUACAGUGGCUAUACCAACUCAGCAC